RNAcentral lists this ribosomal RNA (501 nucleotides) under uncultured bacterium. RNAcentral's name for it is "partial 16S ribosomal RNA". It matches the Rfam family "Bacterial small subunit ribosomal RNA", at positions 30 to 523 of the family's 1533-position model. The record is from RNAcentral.
AUUGAACGCUGGCGGCAUGCCUUACACAUGCAAGUCGAACGGCAGCACGGGUGCUUGCACCUGGUGGCGAGUGGCUAACGGGUGAGUAAUACAUCGGAACGUACCUUAUCGUGGGGGAUAACGCAGCGAAAGUUGCGCUAAUACCGCAUACGCCCUAAGGGGGAAAGCAGGGGACCGUAAGGCCUUGCGCGAUUAGAGCGGCCGAUAUCUGAUUAGCUAGUUGGUGAGGUAAAGGCUCACCAAGGCGACGAUCAGUAGCUGGUCUGAGAGGACGAUCAGCCACACUGGGACUGAGACACGGCCCAGACUCCUACGGGAGGCAGCAGUGGGGAAUUUUGGACAAUGGGGGCAACCCUGAUCCAGCAAUGCCGCGUGAGUGAAGAAGGCCUUCGGGUUGUAAAGCUCUUUUGUCAGGGAAGAAACAGCAGCUCUAAUACAGUUUGCGAAUGACGGUACCUGAAGAAUAAGCACCGGCUAACUACGUGCCAGCCGCCGCGGUAA